UACGUAGGGGGCGAGCGUUGUCCGGAAUUAUUGGGCGUAAAGAGCGUGUAGGCGGUUCGGUAGGUCUGCCGUGAAAACCUGGGGCUCAACCCUGGGCGUGCGGUGGAUACUGCCGGGCUAGAGGGUGGUAGAGGCGAGUGGAAUUCCCGGUGUAGCGGUGAAAUGCGCAGAUAUCGGGAGGAACACCAGUAGCGAAGGCGGCUCGCUGGGCCAUUCCUGACGCUGAGACGCGAAAGCUAGGGGAGCGAACAGG
This 253-nucleotide ribosomal RNA is filed under the name uncultured bacterium. RNAcentral's name for it is "partial 16S ribosomal RNA". It matches the Rfam family "Bacterial small subunit ribosomal RNA", at positions 524 to 776 of the family's 1533-position model. The record is from RNAcentral.